GCCUAACACAUGCAAGUCGAACGGCACCUUCGGGUGUAGUGGCGGACGGGUUAGUAACGCGUGGGAACGUACCCUUUUCUACGGAAUAGUCUCGGGAAACUGAGGUUAAUACCGUAUACGCCCUUUGGGGGAAAGAUUUAUCGGAGAAGGAUCGGCCCGCGUAAGAUUAGAUAGUUGGUGGGGUAAUGGCCUACCAAGUCUACGAUCUUUAGCUGGUUUGAGAGGAUGAUCAGCAACACUGGGACUGAGACACGGCCCAGACUCCUACGGGGGGCAGCAGUGGGGAAUCUUAGACAAUGGGCGCAAGCCUGAUCUAGCCAUGCCGCGUGAGUGAUGAAGGCCUUAGGGUCGUAAAGCUCUUUCGCCUGUGAAGAUAAUGACGGUAGCAGGUAAAGAAACCCCGGCUAACUCCGUGCCAGCAGCCGCGGUAAUACGGAGGGGGUUAGCGUUGUUCGGAAUUACUGGGCGUAAAGCGCACGUAGGCGGAUCAGAAAGUUGGGGGUGAAAUCCCGGGGCUCAACCUCGGAACUGCCUCCAAAACUACUGGUCUUGAGUUCGAGAGAGGUGAGUGGAAUUCCGAGUGUAGAGGUGAAAUUCGUAGAUAUUCGGAGGAACACCAGUGGCGAAGGCGGCUCACUGGCUCGAUACUGACGCUGAGGUGCGAAAGCGUGGGGAGCAA
This 679-nucleotide ribosomal RNA is filed under the name uncultured bacterium. Its description in RNAcentral is "bacterial SSU rRNA". It matches the Rfam family "Bacterial small subunit ribosomal RNA", at positions 46 to 771 of the family's 1533-position model. The record is from RNAcentral.